This 3833-nucleotide long non-coding RNA is filed under the name Sus scrofa (pig). Its description in RNAcentral is "lncRNA (ENSSSCG00000061813.1)". Lineage: Eukaryota; Metazoa; Chordata; Mammalia; Artiodactyla; Suidae. The record is from RNAcentral.
UCCGAGCCGCAUUUCGACCUACAACACAACUCAUGGCAACACUAGAUCCUUAACCCACUGAGCAAUGCCAGGGAUCAAACCCCCAACCUCAUGAUUCCUAGUUGGAUUUGUUUCUACUGCACCGCAACGGGAACUCCUGUAACAUCACUUUUAGAUAUUUUCCCCAACUCUAAUUUUAUGCAGAGAUUAUAGAAUAAUUGGUCUUUGUAUUUUGAAACUUUGAACUAAAAUAGUACAUGGAAUCUUCUUUUUUUUGGCUGUGCCACAGCAGCAAACUGAGCCAGAUUCUUAACCCACUGAACCACAUGGUUACUCCAGAAUCAUUAACAAGUAAAAACAGUUGCUUCUACAAUUGUCCUGAGAAAUUUAAACUGUUGAAAAGAUAUGAAUCUAAUGCUCUUACCUGGCUAUCUUAUUUCUGCCUUCACUGCCUCAAUAUCUGCAAAACAUUUAGCAUCUCUACUCAAGAACAUGAUCAGUCAACAGAAUACUACCUGAUGAGACCAUGUUAUCAAUAGAAGUUUAAUUAAAGAACUGGAUAUUGGGAAAAUCGAAAAGAUACUUUACAGAAAGAAGACAUACAAAUAAGUUAGCACAUGAAAAUAUGCCUAAUAUUCCUCAUCAGAAAUGCAAAUUAAAAUCACAAUGAAAUAUCUCUACACGCCCCCUAGAAUACCUCAAGCUAAAAAGACUGAUAAUACCAAGUCUUGGUGAAGAUGAGGAGGCUCGGGGAUGCAUUUACCCUAUGAUCAAGCAAUUCUAUUCCUAGGUAUUUGCCCAAGGAAAGUGAAAAAACAUUUGUCCACAAAAAAAUAUAGAUGAAUUCUCAAAGGUGCUUUUUUCAUGCUUAGAAUGGCCCCAAACUGGAGAAAAAAAAAAAUGUCCAUCAGCAGAAGAACAAUGUUCUAUUCGUAGAAUGGAAUGAUGGAAUAGCAGUAAAAAAGGAAAAACUGAUAUAUGCUAGAACAUGGAUAAAUCUCAAAGCAUUGUGUUGAGCAAAAAGAUCCAGGCAUAAAAGAAUAUUUAAUUGGGAGUUCCCCAGUGGUCUAGCGAUUAGAACUCAGUGCUUUUACCACGUGGCCAGGGUUUGAUCCCUGGUCUGGGAACUGAGAUCCUACAUCAAGCCGAUGCAUGUCGUGGCCAGAAAAUAUAAAUAAAUAAAGUUCUUAAUUGUAUGAUUCUGUUUCUACAAAGUUCAAGAACAGACAAGACUAAUCUACAGUGAUAGAAAUCAGAAGAAUGGUAGCUUCUCUGUGGGGCUAUUGACUAGAAAAGGUAUAAGAAAGCUUUCAGUGAUGAUGGAAAUAUUCUAUAAAUUGACUUGGGUGAUGGUUACAUGAGUGUACACAUUUUUCAAAGCUUCAUACUGUACACCUUUUACUCUAUGUAAAAUAAAUCUGCAUUUUUUAAAAAGAAAUGGAUAUUGUUGUUUAAGAUUGCAGUCAACACUUUUACAUUUGCUACUAAGUGUAAAAUACAAGAAAAUGCAUUCACGGUUGUUCCAUUUGUCUUAUUGUUCAACUCUUCAAGAAAGCACUGAAAUCAAAAUAAUUGUGUUUCUCAUCUUGUUCUGGUCCCCUGUGGAGGUAAUCUGAGAAAGUUCCUUGGAGUUCAUUAGAAGUGCUACAUUUUCGAGAAGUUUGUCAAAAUGCAGAAGAAAUAAGUAAAGGAAGAAGUGAUUUUUUUAAAAAGAGCAAAUGUUUUCUUCAUUCUAACUCUCUUCUAGAAUAUUUUUGAAGGUUUUAAAUGUACAAAAUCUUUGCACUUCCCAUAAUUAUAAGAUGGAAAUUUUAGGGUAGCCUGAAAUUCUUCAGUGAACUCUUAAACUUAAACUUAAACUUAACUCUUAAACAUUAACUCUGAACCUUUCUAACAGGCUUAGAUUUUAUUAAGAAUAAAGAUAUGGAUGUGUGUCUUUCCCAGACCUAUGCUUAAAAUAGCCCUUGAUAGCCCUCAGUCUGUAGUGUGUUUCUGUUGGAUAGAUGGCCCAGAAUCAAGGUCUUGUGAAUGCAUACAAACACCCUAAUAAAGCUUAGGAGUGUUGGAGUCCCCCCAGCUCCACCAAAGCCCUGCUGUUAGGUCUUCAAGGCAGAUGCAAAGUCAUAUGAGUUACUCUUGGAGUUUCCUGGUGGCCUAGCAAUUAAGGAUCUGGCAUUGUCACUGCUGCAGCCUCGGUCACUGCUGUGGCAUAGGCUCAACCCCUGGCCUGGGGAACUUCUUGACAUUUUUAUGGGGUCUCCACAUAAAACCCUCAAGUCCACUGUCUAACCCUGAAAAUACCCUAGGUCUUCCCAGCUCAGGUCAGACCAACCCUCUGCCAGCUCCAACCACAUAGACCAGGUGGGAGGGGCCAAAGUGUUUCACAUAAGAUGUCCCUCAACUCUGGCCUCAGUGGUCCAGUGGGAGCUCAGGUCCAGCACCUUGCAUGUACUCCUUCCUGCCUGGGUAACUCAGGAUCUGGCCACCACCACCUGCUUUGAGACCAUCAGUCUCAUCCUGCCCUUCAUCCUUUCUUGACUGAGUUAGCUCAGUCAAGAAACCCAGGCUUUCCAGGUCACCUUGCAAGCUCUCAUCCCAAGUAGUUCUUCAUAUUCCUUUUUAUUUCUCCAUUUCCACUCCCCCAACUUCUGAAACACUUCCUCUGUGCCCUCUGAUAUUCACACCAACAAAACAUCCUCCAUCCUCAUUCUUCUCUGCAAGUCCUCUUUCCUUUCCUUUCCUUUCCUUCCUUCCUUCCUUCCUUCCUCUCUCUUUCUUUCAGGGCCCCAUCUGCAGCAUAUGGAGGUUCCCAGGCUAGGGGUUGAAUCGGAGCUACAGCUGCCGGCCUACGCCACAGCCAUAGCAACACAGGAUCCCAGCCUUGUCUGUGACCUACGCCACAGUUCAUGGGAAUAGCAGAUCUUUAACCAGCUGAGCAAGGCCGGGGACUGAACCCGAACCCUCAUGGAUACUAGUUAGGUUCUUAACCCGCUGAGCCACAAUGGGAACUCCCCCCUUUACUUUCUUAUUCUCAUUUAAACUUGAAUCUCCUCUGAGAACACUGCUUCUUCUGCAUUCCUCCUGCUCCCUCACACCGCUGGACCUGGCAAAGUAGGAUGCCUUCGUUUCUCUCUGUUGCUGCUUCCCUCCCUAAAACCACCCAGCUUUGAGGCUCGUUGUUAGGUUCCACUGCUCCAUAAUGGCCUCACAAGUCACUUCCCUUUGUUCUAUGGACAUGCUAGUCUCAGACUCUCCGUCAGUCUCCAUCACUACUCUUUGUAUAACUCAGUGAUUUCAACAUUCACAUGGAUAGUGCUUCUAAUACACUGGUUUCUCAAUUUCCUGACCUUCUUUCCUCCAAUAAUCAUGGCUUCUCCACCUUGGCUUUGGCCACUCAUUCUAGUGGUCCCACCCAUGAGCAAAACUCCUUAAAAGAGGUGUGUGUGUGUGUGUGUGUGUGUGUAUAUAUAUAUAUAUACACCUAUGUACUAUGUACAUACAGGAAUACAAUAUAGUGAUUCACAAUUUUUAAAGCUUCUACUCCAUUUAUAGUCAUUGUAAAAUAUUGGCUAUAUUCCCCAUGUUGUGUAAUAUAUCCUUGUAACCUAUUUUAUACAUAAUAGUUUGUACUCCACAAUAUAGUCUUUCAUGUUCUACUAAAAACACCUUUGGCUUUUAUUCUUCCUUAUAACCACAAGAAUUUUUCCCGCUGAUUUUCCCUGUUUUCCCCACAUAUCAAGCAUAUGUUUUGUGGACUUUAUUUUGCUUUUUCUUUGUUAAUGUUAUAUUAUUUGUUCUUCUCUAACAAUCCCAUAGUCUUGUUUAAUAAAAUCUCUUAUUCUCUGGAAAGUCGU